AACUCAUUCCUUAGUACGGCGAGUGAAGCGGGAAGAGCUCAAAUUUGAAAUCUUCAAGGUUUUACCUUGACGAAUUGUAGUUUAAAGAAGUGUUUUCUGUUGAAGUUUUGGUAAAAGUUCUUUGGAAUAGGACAUCAUAGAGGGUGAGAAUCCCGUAUUUGACCAUUAUUUUCAGCUGUGUGAUACACUUUCAAAGAGUCGGAUUGUUUGGGAAUGCAGUCCAAAAUGGGUGGUAAAUUUCAUCUAAAGCUAAAUAUUGGCGAGAGACCGAUAGCGAACAAGUACCGUGAGGGAAAGAUGAAAAGAACUUUGAAAAGAGAGUUAAACAGUACGUGAAAUUGUCAAAAGGGAAGCGUUUGACACCAGUGUUGUUUUCUCGAAAAUCAAUUAAAAAAAGUUGGAUUUUGUGUUGUAUUGACCUUAACAGCUUGCUUCACUCUUUUCCUGCUUUUUUUAAUGCACUUUUCGUUUAACAAGUCAACAUCAGUUUCUUUUGUUGUAAAAGGGUCAUUGGAAGGUGGCUUUCUCUUCGGAGAAAGUGUUUAUAGCCUUUGAUCUCUGCAAUCGGAGAGACUGAGGUCUGCAGCGUAGAUCCUUCGGGGUUAGAUACAUUUGUGCUAAGCUACAGCUUUUCAUAGACAACUUGUUGACUAUGUUUAGUCUUGUGACUUACCCGCUUAUGCUAUUUUACCUACGCUUAGGAUGUUGACAAAAUGGUUUUAAACGACCCGUCUGA
This 736-nucleotide ribosomal RNA is filed under the name Piromyces sp. RNAcentral describes it as "LSU rRNA". It matches the Rfam family "Eukaryotic large subunit ribosomal RNA", at positions 67 to 656 of the family's 3401-position model. The record is from RNAcentral. Lineage: Eukaryota; Fungi; Neocallimastigomycota; Neocallimastigomycetes; Neocallimastigales; Neocallimastigaceae.